GGACACUUCAAGAAGUGGAGUGUGACUGAAAGCUUGACUCACGUGCGUAAUUACAUGAAGGAUUUCGUUGGAAAUAUGUCGUGUUUCUUGUUCUAUUCGAGGGAUGUUGCAGCUUCUGUCGUUGUAGAGAUGAAAAUUGUCUUUAUUUAUUUGACACAUUGGCCGUAAUGCAAAUGAUGAGAUUGUCAAGUAAUGAGUAUGAAGGAUCACCAUUCUAUUGAUUUGGCUGGUGUCGUAGGUG
Molecule: unclassified non-coding RNA, 241 nt
Filed under: Hevea brasiliensis (rubber tree)
Lineage: Eukaryota; Viridiplantae; Streptophyta; Magnoliopsida; Malpighiales; Euphorbiaceae
Source: RNAcentral